UUGUUGUCAGCACAUUCAACUAUGUAAAGAAAAAAGUAUUUAAUAAGAAUAUUUCAUUCAUUCAGAUCUAGGAUGUGUUAUUUUAGUGUUCCCUUUAUUUUUUUGAGCAGUGUAUUUUAUUACUUUACUGUUGAAUCAUGUAGGCUAUCGUAACGUUAAAUCAAUGAGCCUCCACACAGUCAAUCAGUGUGGGAACGUGAUCAUUGCACCCAAGAUUGAGCUACAACUGGCUAGGCAGUUGGUAGCCUAAAUCCUGCCUGAUGUUACUGCUGUUCCUAAAACCAUUGACAUAUGUUAGCCUACUGUAACCACACAGAGAGAGAGUGUGUGUGUUAAGGUUGGGCGAUUGUGUACAAGCCUAUUGCGCCCCAUAGCGAUCCUCGAUAGUCGAUCACUAUUGGGGAGUGUCUUUCUCAUGACUACUGUCACACCCUGACCAUAGUUUGCUUUGUAUGUUUGUAUGUUUUGUUUGGUCAGGGUGUGAUCUGAGUGAGCAUUCUAUGUUACAUGUAUAGUUUGUCUAUUUCUAUGUUUGGCCUGAUAUGGUUCUCAAUCAGAGGCAGGUGUUAGUCAUUGUCUCUGAUUGGGAACCAUAUUUAGGUAGUCUGUUUGGUGUUGGGUUUUUGUGGGUGAUUGUUCCUGUCUCUGUGUUUGCACCAGAUAGGGCUGUUUUAUUAACUGAAUGAUAUAUUUUUUUUUACAUUGUUUGCAAUCUGGUAUGUGACCCGUAUUAAUGCCAAAAUAACAUGCAUAAGAGGCAAGCCCAGAAAAAAAUACAUUAUUUUGCAAAUAUUGUGGGGCUCAAAACAGCCCCAACUGCACAGGUACUGUAUAACCAUUUGUAUAAAAUCAAAUCAAAUUUUAUUGUUCACAUACACAUGGUUAGCUGAUGUUAAUGCGAGUGUAGCAAAAUGCUUGUGUUUCUAGUUCCAGCCGUGCAGUAAUAUCUAACAAGUAAUCUAACAAUUUCACAACUACCUUAUACACACAAGUGUAAAUGAAUGAAUAAGAAUAUGUACAUAUAAAUAUAUGGAUGAGCGAUGGCAGUGCGGCAUAGGCAAGAUGCAGUAGAUGGAACCGGGUACAGUAUAUACGUAUUAGAUGAGUAAUGUAGGGUAUGUAAACAUUAUAUAAAGUGGCAUUGUUUAAAGUGACUAGUGAUACAUUUAUUGCAUCCCAUUUUUUAUUAUUAAAGUGGCUAGAGAUUUGAGUCAGUAUGUUGGCAGCAGCCACUCAAUGUUAGUGAUGGAUGUUUAACAGUCUGAUGGCCUUGGGAUAGAAGCUGUUUUUCAGUCACUCGGUCCCAGCUUUGAUGACCUGUACUGACCUCGCCUUCUGGAUGAUAGCGGGGUGAACAGACAGUGGCUCGGGUGGUUGUUGUCCUUGAUGAUCUCGCCUACUUCAAUCAAUCACCUUCUCCACUACUGUCCCGUCGAUAUGGAUAGGGGGGUGCUCCUUCUGCUGUUUCCUGAAGUCCACGAUCAUCUCCUUUGUUUUGUUGAUGUUGAGUGUGAGGUUAUUUUCCUGACACCACACUCCGAGGGCCCUCACCUCCUCCCCGUAGGCCGUCUCAUCGUUGUUGGUAAUCAAGCCUAUGACUGUAAUGUCGUCUGCAACUUAAUGAUUGAAGUAGGCAUGCAUGGCCACGCAGUCAUGGGUGAACAGAGAGUACAGGAGAGGGCUGAGAACACACCCUUGUGGGGCCCCAGUUUUGAGUAUCAGUGGGGUGGACAUGAUGUUUCCUACCCUCACCACCUGGGGGCGGCCCGUCGGAAAGUCCAGGACCCAGUUGCACAGGGUGAGGUCGAGACCUUAAUCGAGCUCAAUGACGAGUUUGGAGGGUACUAUAGUGUUAAAUGCUGAGCUGUAAUCGAUGAACAGCAAUCUUACAAAGGUAUUCCUCUUGUCCAGAUGGGUUAGGGCAGUGUGCAGUGUGAUUGCGUCGUCCGUGGACCUAUUGGAGCGGUAAGCAAAUUGGAGUGGGUCUAGGGUGUCAGGUAGGGUGGAGGUGAUAUGAUCUUUGACUCGUCUCUCAAAGCACUUCCUGAUGACGGAAGUGAGUGCUACGGGGCGAUAGUCGUUUAGCUCAGUUACCUUAGCUUUCUUGGGAACAGGAAUAAUGGUGGCCCUCUUGAAGCAUGUGAGAACAGCAGACUGGGAUAGGGAUUGAUUGAAUGUUUGUAAACACACCAGCCAGCUGGUCUGCGCAUGCUCUGAGGACAUGGCUAGAGAUGCCGUCUGGGCAAGCAGCCUUGCGAGGGUUAACAUGUUUAACUGUUUCACUCAUGUUGGUUGCGUUGAAGGAGAGACCCCAGAUUUUGGUAGCGGGCCGUGUCAGCGGCACUGUACUGUCCUCAAAGCGAGCAAAGAAGUUGUUUAGUUUGUCUGGGAGCAAGACGUAGGUGUCCGCGGCGGGGCUGGUUUUCUUUUUGUAAUCCGUGAUUGACUGUAGACCCUGCCACAUACGUCUCGUGUUUGAGCCAUUGAAUUGAGACUUUACUUUGUCUCUAUACUGAGGCUUAGCUUGUUUGAUUGCCUUGCAGAGGGAAUAGCAACACUGUUUGUAUUCGGUCAUGUUUCCGGUCACCUUGCCAUGAUUAAAAGCAGUGGUUCGCACUUUAAGUUUUGCACGAAUGCUGCCAUCAAUCCCCGGUUUGUGCUUGGGGAAGGUUUUAAUAAUCACCGUGGGUACAACAUCACUGAUGCACUUGCUAAUAUAUUUGUUCACCGAAUCAGCGUAUACAUCAAUGUUGUUGUCUGAGGCUAUCCGGAACAUCUCCCAGUCCACGUGAUCAAAGCAAUCUUGAAGCAUGGAAUUCAGAUUGGUCGGACCAGUGUUGAACAGACCUGGGCACGGGCGUUUCCUAUUUUAGUUUCUGUCUAUAGGCUGGGAGCAACAAAAUGGAGUCAUGGUCAGAUUUGCCGAAGGAGGGCUUUGUAUUCGUCGCGGAAGUUAGAGUAGCAAUGAUCCAGAAUGCUGCCAGCCCGGGUCGCGCUUUCGAUAUGCUGAUAAAAUUUAGGGAGCUUUGAUUUCAGAUUAGCUUUGUUAAAAUCCCCAGCUGCAAUACAUGCAGCCUCGGGAUAUGUGGUUUCCAGUUUACAUUGAGUCCAAUUAAGUUAUUUCAGGAGCCUUCUAUCUGGAAGGCAACCCUUGCUUGAAUUUCAUCUACCUUGUUGUCAAGAGACUGGACAUUGGCGAGUAGUAUACUCGGGAGCGGUGAGCGAUGUGCCCGUCUACGGAGCCUGACCAGAAGACCUCUCUGUCUGGCCCUUCUGCGGCACCAUUGUUUUAGGUCGCCUACUGGGAUCCAAUCCAUUGUCCUGGGUGGUGGUCCAAACAGAGGAUCCACUUCGGGAAAGUCGUAUUCCUGGUCGUAAUGUUGCAUUCCCAUAAGAGGCACCCCCUGCAGGAGAUGAAGCAAGCGCACGUGUGUUCCACAACAGUCCAGUCUGAACAGCCAGGUCCAUGGACAUGCACUUACAGCCUUCCCUCAUCCCAACUCUUUGUGGCUGACUCCCAGCAUGCCUAGAGGGGUGAAGGAGAGGAUCAGCCCGCACCCAUUCCCAAAAUGAGUGCCACUCACACAGUAUCGCUUCUGGCUGUUGUCUGGCGUAGCCUGCAUAUAUUUCUGCUCCGUGAGCUCUGUGAAGCCUAAAUCUGUUCAUGUGGUAACUCAUAGUAUACUCUCCCUUGUCCUCUCUAUGGCAUUGUUUUUGUUUUGGUUUGAAGGUAGAGUGAGGGGAGGAUCUUAAGCAUUAGACAGAUUGGUGUUGCAGGAGAUCCGUUGAUCAUGCAUUAGGGGAAGUUUUCUGUUAGGCUAAAGAGGAAUGCAUGAGGAGGAUAAGAGGGUGUUGUCCUGUUGUCAUUGUUGGAAGAACUGACAUUAUUGCUCCCAUCAACCUCACAUCCCACCAUGAUGCUGUACAUUUGUUAUUCUUGGUGUCCCAGAUCCUUUGAUGUCACACCAAGCCUUGUGUUUUAUUAAUGGUCAAUUAAGAGUGUAAUGGGGGAUGUUGACUUAAAACUUUUAGUAAAUGUUACAUGUUUUUGAUAGAAGGUACUUUUAUCAUCAUGCU
Long non-coding RNA from Oncorhynchus nerka (sockeye salmon), 4077 nucleotides. RefSeq lists it as uncharacterized. Lineage: Eukaryota; Metazoa; Chordata; Actinopteri; Salmoniformes; Salmonidae. The record is from RefSeq and is a predicted model, not a curated record. The transcript is spliced from 2 exons.